GAACGCUGGCGGCAUGCCUUACACAUGCAAGUCGAACGGUAACAGGCCGCAAGGUGCUGACGAGUGGCGAACGGGUGAGUAACACAUCGGAACGUGCCUGAUAGGUGGGGAUAACUACUCGAAAGAGUAGCUAAUACCGCAUAAGAUCUCAGGAUGAAAGCAGGGGACCGCAAGGCCUUGCGCUAACAGAGCGGCCGAUGGCAGAUUAGGUAGUUGGUGGGAUAAAGCUUACCAAGCCGACGAUCUGUAGCUGGUCUGAGAGGACGACCAGCCACACUGGGACUGAGACACGGCCCAGACUCCUACGGGAGGCAGCAGUGGGGAAUUUUGGACAAUGGGCGCAAGCCUGAUCCAGCAAUGCCGCGUGCAGGAUGAAGGCCUUCGGGUUGUAAACUGCUUUUGUACGGAACGAAAAAGCUCUGGUUAAUACCUGGGGCCCAUGACGGUACCGUAAGAAUAAGCACCGGCUAACUACGUG
This 478-nucleotide ribosomal RNA is filed under the name uncultured bacterium. RNAcentral's name for it is "bacterial SSU rRNA". It matches the Rfam family "Bacterial small subunit ribosomal RNA", at positions 31 to 507 of the family's 1533-position model. The record is from RNAcentral.